UAGCUUUAUAAAACUAUAUAGCUAAAUAUAGAGAUUGUACUGGGCCUGAUAUAUAUGGCAAUACAGAGGAAAUCCAUCAUAUGCAUCAAAAGUUUGAAAAAGGUGAAUUGACUUAAAUAUUUGUGAACAAAAUUGAAACAAGAAAAAAAAAAGAAAUUAGGAAGAACCUUUUGUGUUCGUUUAAAACAUGUUGGGUAGAUUUUGAAGUUGUUUAACUCGGCUUUAUACAUGAUACAUGUUAAGUGCUCAAAUGACUCUUGUGAUGAAGUAUGCAUAUUUUUCAGAUUGAUUUCAGAAGUCUGAAUGCAAGCAAGCUCCCAUAUGACUACAAUGUAUAAGGGAAAUUAUAUAUAUGUACAAUAAAUAUGGUAUAUUGGAACUGGAUAAUUUCCCAUGCCUUUCACUUGAGGUCUUCAGUUUCAUCAUUAAUCAUGUGAACGUCUGUAUGAAAAACUCUCAUGAUGUCAUGUCAUUGCUGAACAUUCCUUAACACUGGUUUAUUUCAGCCACACUACCUAUAACAUUGCCAAAAUAUUAGACUGAAAAUUUUCAAAUACACAAGAUUUGAAGCAGCAAAAGAAAAGAAUUAAAUAUGUAUAACACAAAAAGAAGAAGAAAUUAAUUCUCACCUGGCUGAAAUGAACUUUUUACUCCUUUUUAGCUCCCUUUCACCACAUACCAGCCAACAAC
This is a long non-coding RNA of Ostrea edulis (European flat oyster), 690 nucleotides long. RefSeq lists it as uncharacterized. The record is from RefSeq and is a predicted model, not a curated record. NCBI's taxonomy places the organism in Eukaryota, Metazoa, Mollusca, Bivalvia, Ostreida, Ostreidae. The transcript is spliced from 2 exons.